GAUGCUCAUAAGUAAGGCAUAAAAAAAUGUUUUUGUUUGGUUCCGGUUGGUUGUCAGUUGAGGUCAUGGGUCGGUGGGGAAUUUGUUUUAUUUUUUAUUUUUAUUUUCCUUUACAGUAGCGAUGGAACUUUUUCAUAACAUAGCCUACCUGUACUACAUGUACUCUACCACCUUGUGUGUCCCAGCAUGUUACACACACACACACACACACACACACACACACACACACACAA
Molecule: long non-coding RNA, 233 nt
Organism: Sander lucioperca (pikeperch)
Lineage: Eukaryota; Metazoa; Chordata; Actinopteri; Perciformes; Percidae
Exons: 3
Source: RefSeq, a predicted model, not a curated record